GUUUCUGCCACAUCAAUAAGUAGCAGCUCUUGUUAUAGAUUUCGAUCUGAUAAAAAUGUAACUUAUAAAAUUUAAAAAAAACCUUUCCUUGGGAAAGAAAAAAUAAAAAUAAAAACCAUAUCUAGUUUCAAUUAUAUUUUCCAAAAGAAAAAAGUGAGUUUAAAGUAACAGCCAGAACGUUGAAAAAGUGAAGGACGACUGGAGCUGGAGGAUCAGCCGUAGGCAGCAAGAUCAUUGAAAUUCAGGAAAUUAAUUCCUCAGUCACUUUCUAAAAAGUGAGAACAAAACCCUGUCGUUGCCGUCUUAAAGGGAGGUGAGAAGCAAGCACUGAAUGGAUUCCUGUACAGAAGCGCAGCUGCUGCAGCCGAGCCCCUCGGAGCCCUUAAUACCGUGAUGGCGAGCAGGAAAUAACGUCGCCGAGCCGUUUGACUUGACGGGUGUCAACAACAUAGCGGUCCGCUUGGAAUCUACCUACCCCUCAACUCGGUGGGCAUGGACUUACGUGACCUCGGCUUCUCCACCGCAAAUCAGCACGUUGGCUCCACAACCAGAUGCAAAUUAAUUGUCAAGACCAGGCCAGCAGAGGGCCACUGGGACCCGGAGCUAUGUACACCAGCUGGAGUCAGAUCAGGUAACCUUCUGAGGGGCAGGGUGGAGGCCAGGCCGGAAGUGCAAAGCCGCAGACCUCAGAUCUCCUUAAGGUAAGGCAACCAGAGAAAGAAUCCAAGAAUAAUCAUCAGGAAGAGAAGUUGCCAAGGAGACCGUGAAGGGACAAGCUGGGGGACAAAAGCCAAUUCAGUGGGGAUGGCCAGGGAACAAGUGGAAAGAAUCUGUGUCCUUGACAACAUUGAGCCACUGAAUUAACCAACUCCAAAACUGCCCCACCUCUGGAC
This 893-nucleotide long non-coding RNA is filed under the name Equus caballus (horse). Its description in RNAcentral is "lncRNA (ENSECAG00000058635.1)". The record is from RNAcentral. Lineage: Eukaryota; Metazoa; Chordata; Mammalia; Perissodactyla; Equidae.